This 253-nucleotide ribosomal RNA is filed under the name uncultured bacterium. RNAcentral's name for it is "partial 16S ribosomal RNA". It matches the Rfam family "Bacterial small subunit ribosomal RNA", at positions 524 to 776 of the family's 1533-position model. The record is from RNAcentral.
UACGUAGGGUGCAAGCGUUGUCCGGAAUUAUUGGGCGUAAAGAGCUCGUAGGCGGUUUGUCGCGUCUGCUGUGAAAAUCCAGGGCUUAACCCUGGACCUGCAGUGGGUACGGGCAGACUAGAGUGCGGUAGGGGAGAUCGGAAUUCCUGGUGUAGCGGUGGAAUGCGCAGAUAUCAGGAGGAACACCGAUGGCGAAGGCAGGUCUCUGGGCCAUUACUGACACUGAGAAGCGAAAGCAUGGGGAGCGAACAGG